RNAcentral lists this ribosomal RNA (504 nucleotides) under uncultured bacterium. RNAcentral describes it as "partial 16S ribosomal RNA". It matches the Rfam family "Bacterial small subunit ribosomal RNA", at positions 30 to 523 of the family's 1533-position model. The record is from RNAcentral.
AUUGAACGCUAGCGGCAUGCUUAACACAUGCAAGUCGAACGGUAACAGUACUAGCUUGCUAGUAGCUGACGAGUGGCGGACGGGUGAGUAACGCGUAGGAAUCUACCUUGUAGUGGGGAAUAACCUGGGGAAACUCAGGCUAAUACCGCAUAAUACCGAAAGGAGAAAGGAGGGGACCGUAAGGCCUUUCGCUAUAAGAUGAGCCUGCGUCGGAUUAGCUUGUUGGUGGGGUAAAGGCCUACCAAGGCGAAGAUCCGUAGCUGGUCUGAGAGGACGGCAAGCCACACUGGGACUGAGAAACGGCCCAGACUCCUACGGGAGGCAGCAGUGGGGAAUAUUGGACAAUGGGCGGAAGCCUGAUCCAGCAAUGCCGCGUGUGUGAAGAAGGCCUGCGGGUUGUAAAGCACUUUCAGUGGGGAGGAAGGUCCUGAUGCUAAUAGUAUUGGGAAUUGACGUUACCUACAGAAGAAGCACCGGCUAACUCUGUGCCAGCAGCCGCAGUAA